RNAcentral lists this ribosomal RNA (497 nucleotides) under uncultured bacterium. RNAcentral's name for it is "partial 16S ribosomal RNA". It matches the Rfam family "Bacterial small subunit ribosomal RNA", at positions 28 to 507 of the family's 1533-position model. The record is from RNAcentral.
GAUGAACGCUGGCGGCGUGCCUAAUACAUGCAAGUCGAGCGAACAGACGAGGAGCUUGCUCCUCUGACGUUAGCGGCGGACGGGUGAGUAACACGUGGAUAACCUACCUAUAAGACUGGGAUAACUUCGGGAAACCGGAGCUAAUACCGGAUAAUAUAUUGAACCGCAUGGUUCAAUAGUGAAAGACGGUUUUGCUGUCACUUAUAGAUGGAUCCGCGCCGCAUUAGCUAGUUGGUAAGGUAACGGCUUACCAAGGCAACGAUGCGUAGCCGACCUGAGAGGGUGAUCGGACACACUGGAACUGAGACACGGUCCAGACUCCUACGGGAGGCAGCAGUAGGGAAUCUUACGCAAUGGGCGAAAGCCUGACGGAGCAACGCCGCGUGAGUGAUGAAGGUCUUCGGAUCGUAAAACUCUGUUAUUAGGGAAGAACAAAUGUGUAAGUAACUAUGCACGUCUUGACGGUACCUAAACAGAAAGCCACGGCUAACUACGUG